UUUACCCAAGUCGACAUUAAUGUUAAUUUAGCGUUUCAUUACAAAUUUCCACCAAAUGUUGCAACAAACAAUAUUUGAUUGACAUGUUUGUAUCUAAUAUCUAAAAUAUAUUUUCGUAAAUAAUGAAAAAGAAAGUAAUUUAAAAUGAAUCCUUGUCUCUGGUAUAUAUGAUCAGCUGAUGGGGUUCUAGGUUCUGCUCACAGUGGCUGCUGUUGGGUCAGAUUUAGUUUGGAAGUACCCGUUCUGGGACUCGUCACCCUCAGCACCGCUCUCCAACAGAUAAGCCGCUGCUGGUGUGUGUUUUAGAUUUUGGAAUAUUAUUGUUUGCUCUCAAAACCUUACGAACAAAUGACUGCGGAGCUGCGCCGAGAGUGGCUCAAAUGUCCUUUUAGAGGAGCGAGCACGCUGAUGCGUUUCCGUGGAGAAUUCCCCCGGAGGAGAUUCCAUUCAGACGGGCUCCUGAGGGGUUUAAUGGCCCAAAUGCAGCCGCUCGGCCCUGACGUUCCCUCACGGACGCCGGAGUCACUGCAACCGGGAAGACAGCGUGUGUUUGCGCGUGUUUACGCACACAUUUUCCUCCUCUACGUCAGCAUAUCACUCCACUCGCCCUCCGUCCUCUUGAGGGACCUGAGCUGACGUGGACCUGCAGCUGUCACCAUGGAUUACACCCCGGACGGCUCACCGGCCCAUCACAUCAAAGCUGAAGCACGCUGCUGCCGUGCGCCUGCACCAGCACCUGCCCAUUAACUGCACUGGCUAAAUGAUAAAGUGAUUGUGAUCUGCGGGCUGUAAACUUUAAAGCUCUGUCCACACCAGCGCAGUUGGUCCAGUUAAUCAAAAGGUUUACGGACCUGCAGCUCUGUGUGUGUGUGUGUGUGUGUGUGUGUGUGUGUGUGUGUGUGUGUGUGUGUGUGUGUGUGUGUGUGUGUGUGUGUGUGUAGUGCUAUAGUGGAGACUCAGACUCAA
RNAcentral lists this long non-coding RNA (966 nucleotides) under Betta splendens (Siamese fighting fish). RNAcentral's name for it is "lncRNA (ENSBSLG00000005486.1)". The record is from RNAcentral. Lineage: Eukaryota; Metazoa; Chordata; Actinopteri; Anabantiformes; Osphronemidae.